RNAcentral lists this ribosomal RNA (496 nucleotides) under uncultured bacterium. Its description in RNAcentral is "partial 16S ribosomal RNA". It matches the Rfam family "Bacterial small subunit ribosomal RNA", at positions 28 to 507 of the family's 1533-position model. The record is from RNAcentral.
GAUGAACGCUGGCGGCGUGCCUAAUACAUGCAAGUCGAGCGAACGGACGAGAAGCUUGCUUCUCUGAUGUUAGCGGCGGACGGGUGAGUAACACGUGGAUAACCUACCUAUAAGACUGGGAUAACUUCGGGAAACCGUAGCUAAUACCGGAUAAUAAUUUGAACCGCAUGGUUCAAAAGUGAAAGACGGUCUUGCUGUCACUUAUAGAUGGAUCCGCGCUGCAUUAGCUAGUUGGUAAGGUAACGGCUUACAAGGCAACGAUGCAUAGCCGACCUGAGAGGGUGAUCGGCCACACUGGAACUGAGACACGGUCCAGACUCCUACGGGAGGCAGCAGUAGGGAAUCUUCCGCAAUGGGCGAAAGCCUGACGGAGCAACGCCGCGUGAGUGAUGAAGGUCUUCGGAUCGUAAAACUCUGUUAUUAGGGAAGAACAUAUGUGUAAGUAACUGUGCACAUCUUGACGGUACCUAAUCAGAAAGCCACGGCUAACUACGUG